AUUGAACGCUGGCGGCAGGCCUAACACAUGCAAGUCGAGCGGAUGAAGGGAGCUUGCUCCUGGAUUCAGCGGCGGACGGGUGAGUAAUGCCUAGGAAUCUGCCUGGUAGUGGGGGAUAACGUCCGUAAACGGGCGCUAAUACCGCAUACGUCCUGAGGUAGAACGUGGGGGAUCUUCGGACCUCACGCUAUCAGAUGAUCCUAGGUCGGAUUAGCUAGUUGGUGGGGUAAAGGCCUACCAAGGCGACGAUCCGUAACUGGUCUGAGAGGAUGAUCAGUCACACUGGAACUGAGACACGGUCCAGACUCCUACGGGAGGCAGCAGUGGGGAAUAUUGGACAAUGGGCGAAAGCCUGAUCCAGCCAUGCCGCGUGUGUGAAGAAGGUCUUCGGAUCGUAAAGCACUUUAAGUUGGGAGGAAGGGAAGUAAGUGAAUACAUUGCUGUUUUGACGGUACCAACAGAAUAAGCACCGGCUAACUUCGUG
This 484-nucleotide ribosomal RNA is filed under the name uncultured bacterium. RNAcentral's name for it is "partial 16S ribosomal RNA". It matches the Rfam family "Bacterial small subunit ribosomal RNA", at positions 30 to 507 of the family's 1533-position model. The record is from RNAcentral.